Molecule: ribosomal RNA, 301 nt
Filed under: uncultured bacterium
Lineage: Bacteria
Description: partial 16S ribosomal RNA
Rfam family: Bacterial small subunit ribosomal RNA
Source: RNAcentral
CAGUCGCCGCGGGAAAACGUAGGGCGCAAGCGUUGUCCGGAAUUAUUGGGCGUAAAGAGCUCGUAGGCGGUCUGUCGCGUCUGGUGUGAAAUCCCGAGGCUCAACCUCGGGCUUGCAUCGGGUACGGGCAGACUAGAGUGCGGUAGGGGAGACUGGAAUUCCUGGUGUAGCGGUGGAAUGCGCAGAUAUCAGGAGGAACACCGAUGGCGAAGGCAGGUCUCUGGGCCGCAACUGACGCUGAGGAGCGAAAGCAUGGGGAGCGAACAGGAUUAGAUACCCGGGUAGUCCCUGUCUCUUAUAC